CCUACGGGUGGCAGCAGUGGGGAAUUUUGGACAAUGGGCGCAAGCCUGAACCAGCUAUUCCGCGUGUGGGAAGACGGCCUUCGGGUUGUAAACCUCUUUUGUAGAGAACGAAAAGUCUAUUGAUAAUACCGAUAGACGAUGACGGUACUCUAAGAAUAAGCACCGGCUAACUACGUGCCAGCAGCCGCGGUAAUACGUAGGGUGCGAGCGUUGUCCGGAAUCAUUGGGCGUAAAGAGUUCGUAGGCGGUAUGUUAAGUCUGGUGUUAAAUGCAGAAGCUCAACUUCUGCUCGGCCCUGGAUACUGGCAAACUGGAAUGCGGUAGAGGUAAAGGGAAUUCCUGGUGUAGCGGUGAAAUGCUUAGAUAUCAGGAGGAACAUCGGUGGCGUAAGCGCUUUACUGGGCCGUAAUUGACGCUGAGGAACGAAAGCCAGGGUAGCAAAUGGGAUUAGAUACCCCGGUAGUC
Molecule: ribosomal RNA, 465 nt
Filed under: uncultured bacterium
Lineage: Bacteria
Description: partial 16S ribosomal RNA
Rfam family: Bacterial small subunit ribosomal RNA
Source: RNAcentral